Molecule: ribosomal RNA, 416 nt
Filed under: uncultured bacterium
Lineage: Bacteria
Description: bacterial SSU rRNA
Rfam family: Bacterial small subunit ribosomal RNA
Source: RNAcentral
UGGGGAAUUUUGGACAAUGGACGAAAGUCUGAUCCAGCGACGCCGCGUGGAGGAUGAAGGUUUUCGGAUUGUAAACUCCUUUUACAGGGGACGAACACCCGCAAGGGUUUGACAGUACUCUGUGAAUAAGCCACGGCUAACUACGUGCCAGCAGCCGCGGUAAUACGUAGGUGGCGAGCGUUACUCGGAAUUACUAGGCGUAAAGCGCGUGUAGGCGGGAGCUUAAGUCAGUCGUGAAAGCUCAGGGCUCAACCCUGAAAUGUCGACUGAAACUGGGCUUCUUGAGUGCGGUAGAGGAGAUCGGAAUUCCAGGUGUAGCGGUGAAAUGCGUAGAUAUCUGGAAGAACGCCAAAGGCGAAGGCAGAUCUCUGGGCCGUUACUGACGCUGAGACGCGAAAGCUAGGGGAGCAAACAGG